Molecule: long non-coding RNA, 2864 nt
Organism: Macaca fascicularis (crab-eating macaque)
Lineage: Eukaryota; Metazoa; Chordata; Mammalia; Primates; Cercopithecidae
Source: Ensembl
AUGUUUACUGCACUUGCCUCUAGCAAGUUAUGGAAUUCUGUGCCACUCAAGUCCUCUAUCUGUUGCAAAACUGUGCAUCCCAAGAUGGUGCUCUUGAGCUGUGGUGGAACAUCUUCAGACAGACACUAUGGGACCCACAAUGAAGCAAUUGAGAAAAAGGACACCCCUAAAGAACCACCAGGGUGCAGCAUUCCUGAGUGGCAGAAGCCAUGCAGGAAAUCGCAGUAUGUACAGCUGGCACUUUGAAGAACAAUGAAUUCCUUCAAGGCUCUAUGCAGGCAUUUCAAACAGUGGCUACCAGACAGGCUUGGCAUAACUUAGACUCAGUUACAGCUAGAAUUAUUUUAUUUCUGGGUAGGUAACUGAGAGAAGCAGGAAUUGUGCAUUUAUCUCAGUAUGGUUUUAUUUUUAAAGAAUGAAACAGCAACAAAUAGAAACAACUGCGCAAAGAGCAUAGUUUCUUCUAAAAUAAAGAUUAUAUUAGAACACUCCAAAUGGGGACACAUUGUCUGACAAGAGGUCAGAAUAUCAGAAAAUGGAAGUGUCUUACUUAAUUAAAUAACCCUGAAGUAAUUUAAUUUCAUGGGUAAGUGAGACUUUUAAAAAGGGUUAAACAAAAGCCAAAUCCCUAAGUAGAAAUAUGUAGCCCGAUCGCCUGCAAAAUUGUUACAGAUCUUUGUGUUUUAUUUUCACAGAUGCUGCACCUUAGUCCAGGGAUUUUUAAAGUGUGGUUCCUGAAAGAGCUGUCUCAGAGUCAUCCGUGUUGAUGGUGUAACGUAAAGAUUUUCGGGCCUCAAGACUGAAGUAGGACAAGGAAUUUGAAUUUUUAAGCAGCUCACCUGACUUGUCUGUCCUCUAAUAUCUGAGAACACCUGACUUCUGCUCUUUCAGUAAAGGCAACAAUGGUUUUAUGAGCACUGUCGUCACAUCUCUCCACUCUAGGGAUCCUUCUCAUUUCUCCCAGACGAGGUCACCCACAGCUGCUGCUUCUAACUGCUGGCUUCCAGCCUGCUGUCUGCCAGCUGGCUCUACCCUCUCCUAUAACACAGCAGAGAGUAGCUGUGAUCUCCUGUGUGCUCACCCUCCGCUCCCUUGGGUCCAUGUUUUGGUCCUGCACUUAAAUUUUACAAGCAUACUCUCUUUCUCUUAAGGUAAGCAACCAUUUUAAAUCUCAGCAGUAAACAAAACAAAAAAUCACCAGGAAACUAUAUCAAAUCAGGUUUUUUUGUUUGUUUUUUGUUUUUGUUUUUUUUUGUGUUUUUUUUGUUGUUUGUUUGUUUUUGAGAUGGAGUCUUGCUGUGUCACCCAGGAUGGAGUGCAGUGGAGCGAUCUUGGCUCACUGCAACCUCUGCCGCCCAGAUUCAAGCGAUUCUCCUCUCUCAGCCUCCUGAGUAAGCUGGGAUUACAGGCACCCACCACCAGGCCUGGCUAAUUUUUGUAUUUUUAGUAGAGAUGGAGUUUCACCAUAUUGGCUAAGCUGGUCUCGAACUCCUGACCUCAAGUGAUCCGCCCACCUCGGCCUCCCAAAGUGCCGGGAUUAUAGGCAUGAGCCACCACGCCUGGCAUCAAAGCAAGUUUUAACCAGCCUUUUUGUCCACUGAUAACAUAAAGGAGGUCAGCAGCAGCUAAUUCCUGUGCCGGUAGAGCUUUCUUGUCCUUUCACACUGCAAGAUAAAUAAUCACUUAGCUAAGAGGCCAAUUUUACCUUUUUAAAAAAAAUUUUUAAAUGAGACCGGGUGCAGUGGCUGACUCCUGUAAUCCCGGCCUUGGGAGGCCGAGGCGGGCAGAUCACUUGAGGUCAGGAGUUCAAGACUAGCCUGGCCAACAUGGUGAAACCCCAUCUCUAUUAAAAAUACAAAAAAAUUAUCGAGGUUUGGUGGUGGGCACCUGUAAUCCCAGCUACUUGGGAGACUGAGGCAAGAGAAUCCCUUGAACCCGGGAGAUGGAGGCUGCAGUGAGCCAAGAGUACACUACUGCACUCCAGCCUGGGCAACAGAGCUGGACUCUGUCUCAAAAAAAAAUUUUUUUUAAAUGAGAGCUAUAUCUUAUUAACAAAAUUAAACUAUGUUUGUUUUUGGAGUUUUAUUUUUGUAGCAUUUACAGAAAUCUGUUAAGAGCUUCUUAAUUAUAAAAAUAAGUUAAUAACAUAUUUCUCAAAUUGACUUAUCAAUUCAUUGUCAUUGUGGAUGAAAUUACUUUAUAAUCAAUUACCAGAAAGAAACCUGAUUUGAUUUCAGCUCACCCCCAAUAUUCAAGGCACUUGGAUUUUUGGUCUCCGCCCAUUUAUUAUGUGGUCUACUAAAAAUAGACCACAUCCUAGGAGUUAGGAUUCCAAGAACAGUUUCCACUUAUUACUCACUUCUUGAUAUUUAUGGAACUAGUCAUUUCGCAAAUAUGAGCUCUACUCUCCAAUCUUUAGAAGAAAAAAGAAAAUAACAAUAACAACAAUAGAAUUUCAUUCUCUCCAGAGAAUUAGCAAUGAAACGAGAGUGGAAAGAAAGCAAAUGGGAAUGUUAGAAUUGGGGAAAAUGUAAUGCAAAGCCAAAUGUGAAUAGGAAUUACAGUUGACAAGAGGGGAAAAGAGGGUGUGGAGGACAAAUAUACCAACAGAAAACAUGUAAAGUCAAUAGCAUGCAACCUUUUAAAAAAUAAAUGUUUUAAGUUCAUUUUGAUAGUGGAUAGGACAAGAAUAUUGGCACAUUAUGAAAAAAGACAUGACAAGACUAUGAAUAAAUUUUAAUGAAAAUAUAUAAGUGGAUUACCCUCUAUUAUAACACCAGAGGCCACAAAACUAUAGGAAGCAAAUUCUUCACUAGAAAAUAUUCUUCACAGUCUCUUUUAAUCAUGAUGUAUACAUCUUCAUU